GACGAACGCUGUCGGCGUGCUUAACACAUGCAAGUCGAACGGAAAGGCCCUGCUUUUGUGGGGUGCUCGAGUGGCGAACGGGUGAGUAACACGUGAGUAACCUGCCCUUGACUUUGGGAUAACUUCAGGAAACUGGGGCUAAUACCGGAUAGGAGCUCCUGCUGCAUGGUGGGGGUUGGAAAGUUUCGGCGGUUGGGGAUGGACUCGCGGCUUAUCAGCUUGUUGGUGGGGUAGUGGCUUACCAAGGCUUUGACGGGUAGCCGGCCUGAGAGGGUGACCGGCCACAUUGGGACUGAGAUACGGCCCAGACUCCUACGGGAGGCAGCAGUGGGGAAUAUUGCACAAUGGGCGGAAGCCUGGUGCAGCAACGCCGCGUGCGGGAUGACGGCCUUCGGGUUGUAAACCGCUUUCGCCUGUGACGAAGCGUGAGUGACGGUAAUGGGUAAAGAAGCACCGGCUAACUACGUGCCAGCAGCCGCGGUGAUACGUAGGGUGCGAGCGUUGUCCGGAUUUAUUGGGCGUAAAGGGCUCGUAGGUGGUUGAUCGCGUCGGAAGUGUAAUCUUGGGGCUUAACCCUGAGCGUGCUUUCGAUACGGGUUGACUUGAGGAAGGUAGGGGAGAAUGGAAUUCCUGGUGGAGCGGUGGAAUGCGCAGAUAUCAGGAGGAACACCAGUGGCGAAGGCGGUUCUCUGGGCCUUUCCUGACGCUGAGGAGCGAAAGCGUGGGGAGCGAACAGGCUUAGAUACCCUGGUAGUCCACGCUGUAAACGGUGGGUACUAGGUGUGGGGUCCAUUCCACGGGUUCCGUGCCGUAGCAAACGCUUUAAGUACCCCGCCUGGGGAGUACGGCCGCAAGGCUAAAACUCAAAGGAAUUGACGGGGCCCCGCACAAGCGGCGGAGCAUGCGGAUUAAUUCGAUGCAACGCGUAGAACCUUACCUGGGUUUGACAUGGAUCGGGAGUGCUCAGAGAUGGGUGUGCCUCUUUUGGGGUCGGUUCACAGGUGGUGCAUGGCUGUCGUCAGCUCGUGUCGUGAGAUGUUGGGUUAAGUCCCGCAACGAGCGCAACCCUUGUUCACUGUUGCCAGCACGUUAUGGUGGGGACUCAGUGGAGACCGCCGGGGUCAACUCGGAGGAAGGUGGGGAUGACGUCAAGUCAUCAUGCCCCUUAUGUCCAGGGCUUCACGCAUGCUACAAUGGCUGGUACAGAGAGUGGCGAGCCUGUGAGGGUGAGCGAAUCUCGGAAAGCCGGUCUCAGUUCGGAUUGGGGUCUGCAACUCGACCUCAUGAAGUCGGAGUCGCUAGUAAUCGCAGAUCAGCAACGCUGCGGUGAAUACGUUCCCGGG
This 1343-nucleotide ribosomal RNA is filed under the name uncultured bacterium. RNAcentral's name for it is "16S ribosomal RNA". It matches the Rfam family "Bacterial small subunit ribosomal RNA", at positions 28 to 1378 of the family's 1533-position model. The record is from RNAcentral.